This is an RNA transcript of Microtus ochrogaster (prairie vole), 4288 nucleotides long. It is a transcript of the gene named membrane associated ring-CH-type finger 7, with no coding region annotated. NCBI's taxonomy places the organism in Eukaryota, Metazoa, Chordata, Mammalia, Rodentia, Cricetidae. The transcript has 10 exons. The record is from RefSeq and is a predicted model, not a curated record.
GCGGCGGCCACUUGUGCGCCGCAUCCGGAGGGGUGGCCGCCAUUGUGCUUCGUCGCCGACUGCUCUGCUGUCCCCGUGGCCUGAGACCGAGAGCACCGGGAGAGGAGGAGGAGGAGGAGGCCCUGUGGCUGCGGUGAGCCCCACGCUCCCUGCGGUGUGCCAGCUGGAAGAGGGAAACCUUGAGCAUGGAGUCUAAACCUUCCAGGAUUCCAAGAAGAAUUUCUGUUCAACCCUCUGGCUCUUUAAGUUCUAGGAUGGUGUCUGGAAACAGAGGAGCUAGUUUAAAUGAUCCCUAUCACUCUAGAGACUCUUCCUUUAGACUGGAUUCUGAAUAUCAGUCUGCAUCAGCAUCUGCAUCACCAUUUCAGUCUACGUGGUAUAGUGAAUCUGAGAUAACUCAGGGAGCACGAUCGAGAGUACAGAACCCACAACGGGAUCAUGAUUCAAAAAGACCGAAACUUUCUUGUGCAAACUGUACGUCUACCUCCGCUGGGAGAAGUACUGGGAGUGGCUUAAGUGCAGUGUCAGAUUCUUCUUGGAGGCAUAGUCAAGUUCCCAGAUCUUCAUCAGUGGUACUUGGUUCAUUUGGAACAGACCUGAUUAGAGAAAGGAGAGAUUUGGAGAGGAGAACAGAUUCCUCCAUUAGCAAUCUUAUGGAUUAUAAUCACCGAAGUGGUGAUUUCACAACUUCAUCAUAUGUUCAAGAAAGAGUUCCUUCUUCAUAUUCACAGGGAGCAAGACCAAAAGAGAAUUCAGUGAGCAAUUUACAGUUGAAUUCAUCAUCUACCAAUCACCAAUUGCCUUCUGAACAUCAAACAAUAUCAAGUUCUAGGGACUCUAGCAGAAAUUCUUUCAGAUCACAUUUUUCUCCAAGACAAUCAGAAUCUUUUCGAAAUGCUUCACAUCCCACAUUUUCAUAUCUUUCAAGUAGAGAUGAAACCCCAGUUAUAAGCAAUUCAGAAAGGGUUAAUUCAUCUCGGAGACCAUUUCAAGAAUCUUCGGACAAUGAAGGUAGGCGUACUACUAGAAGAUUGCUGUCACGGAUAGCUUCUAGCAUGUCAUCAACUUUUUUUUCACGAAGAUCUGGUCAAGAUUCCUUGAAUACAAGAUCAUUGAGUUCUGAUAAUUAUAUUUCUCCAAGAACCUUGACUUCACAGUCUCGGAGUAAUGGAGCAUCAUCUUCUGAAGUCAGUGAUAGCAGGACAUCUGAAGCUUCUCAGGGAUUUAGAUUCCUUAGGCGAAGGUGGGGUUUGUCAUCUCUUAGCCAAAAUCAUAGCUCUGAACCAGAUGCGGAAAAUUUUAAUCAAGAAUCAGAAGGUAGAAGUACAGGACCGUGGUUGUCUUCCUCCCUUAGAAAUAGAUGCACACCUUUGUUCUCUAGGAGGAGGCGAGAGGGAAGAGAUGAAUCUUCAAGGAUAUCUGUGUCAGAUGUCCCACCUAGAUCUCAUCUUUUUAGAAGAGAAUCAAAUGAAGUGGUUCACCUUGAAGCACCGAGUGAUCCCCUUGGGGCUGCUGCCAACAGACCACAAGCAUCUGGGGCAGCAAGCAGUGUUUCUGCAGGUGGCCCCACACCAGAUUUGCCUCAAGGUGGAAGAAGUACAGGACUAGCAGGGAUUCUUCCUGGUUCCCUAUUCCGGUUUGCAGUCCCACCAACACUCGGAAGCAGUCUGACCGACAAUGUCAUGAUUACUGUAGAUAUUAUUCCUUCAGGCUGGAACGCAGCUGAUGGGAAAAGUGAUAAAGCUAAAAGUGCACCUUCAAGAGACCCAGAGAAACUGCAAAAAAUAAAAGAAAGCCUCCUUUUAGAGGACUCUGAAGAAGAAGAAGGAGACUUAUGUAGAAUUUGUCAAAUGGCAGCUGCAUCGUCAUCUAAUUUACUGAUAGAGCCAUGCAAAUGCACAGGGAGUCUGCAGUAUGUCCAUCAAGAGUGUAUGAAAAAGUGGUUACAGGCCAAAAUUAAUUCUGGUUCUUCAUUAGAAGCUGUAACCACCUGUGAACUCUGUAAAGAGAAGUUGCAACUUAACCUGGAGGAUUUUGAUAUUCAUGAACUACAUAGAGCUCAUGCAAAUGAACAAGCUGAGUAUGAGUUUAUCAGCUCUGGUCUCUACCUAGUUGUUUUACUGCACUUGUGUGAGCAAAGCUUUUCUGAUAUGAUGGGAAAUACAAUUGAACCAAGCACUCGUGUUCGAUUUAUUAACCUUGCAAGAACUCUUCAGGCACAUAUGGAAGAUCUCGAAAGUAGGUGGAAUUUCCCCUCCCCAGAUUUGUUGAAUUUACUUUUGCAAAUUAAACCCACAGAACAAAACCUUAAUGUACUCUUUUUUACCAAAUUGAAUUUUGGUUAUAGGCCUAAUACUACCACAGUUAACUUAUUUGAAUACUAUGGGUUGGAAAAUAGGCUCUAGGUUUUUGAACGUAUUUUUUUAAGUUAUGUUUAAUAUGUGAAAGGAGGUAAUUUUAAUCAUUAAUUUUCAGUAAACCACUUUGAUUUUACUAUAUGUGAUUAAAAGGAAAACAUAAAAUUAAGUCCUAUCUGUUAAGGGUUUUUAUUUUUAAUAUAUGAAAAAAAUUACUUUUUAAUUAAAUUCCAGAUCAUAGAAGUAAUUCUUUAGGUUUGUGUUUGGUUCCAGGAAAAUAAGGAAAAGAGGCUUGAGCCCAUAACAAAAUGGUUUUGCUUGUUCUUUGUUUACUUAAUAGGUAUUUCUUUGUGGACAGGCAGCUCAAAUUUCUUAGGGUCAUUUUGUCAUUCUCGUUAGGUGAAGACACCUAAUCCUAAAUCUUACAGGCAUUUCCACAACCUGCUGUCUAUCUUCUAAUGUAUUAUAGCACGUUCAUGGUGCUUCAUACCAGGCGAGGGCAAAAUUGGCUUUAGAACUACUUGUGGGGAAAAUUAAACCCAUCUGACCCCUGCCUGUUUGCUUUUCCCCCUCAGCAACAGGCUCCCUCCCAGUGCAGUCUCUGUUGUUUUCAUGUGGAUAGGCACUUCCACCUUUAGAACACCUCUUAUCUAGAAGAAAGCCUGGCAUCCUUUGAAGAUAAUAUGAGAAGGAUCUGUCCUCAUAAAACCUUUUACUUCUUUAAAUAUUCUAAGAUCUAGCCUUUGUAAGUUUUUAUGCUUGUACUAAUUUUAGGUUUUAACAGGAUUUAAGAGAAAAUCAGGCAGCACAUUCUUAGGUAUUUUUAUUAGCAUACGUGAAAGUAAAGGAGCUAGUUGGAAUUACUGCUUACUGUGAAUUUUUUCUUUAUGAUAUUAAUAAAAAAUAGCUCAUUGACUAAUACAAAAGUUCAGGUUUUUUUUCUGAAAAUUUUAAUUUCUGUUUUGGUAGGCUACUGUUGUGGUCAUUUGUUUCAGUGUUUUUUCCCCAAGCUUUCUCACUUUGAAAAAAGUAUUUUCAUUUAAAACAUAAUUUCCUAAGCAUAACAUGGUCUUUUUUCUGUAUGCAAGAGAGAAGAAAAAGCUAGAAGUAAAAUAUAGACAACUUUAGCUGACAGUGGAAGAUGGUGCGGCCUCAAAUGAAUCUCAAAUGACUGGAGUAUUGCUACAUUCUGAAAACUAGCCAAGUUGUAUCUUCCUGUGGAAUCAGUCACUAGAAACACGAUACUCCCUAAAACACAAUGCAGCAGUGUGAUAUGUAAACAUAGAGCAUCACAACAGGGUUUAUGUCAGUCAUGAGCUGGAUAUGGAUAGCACUUAUUUUAUGUAGAUUUUAUCCAUAAAUGUUAACAUUUUUCCAGCUCUUAGUUUGGGUUGAUCUAGUAUCCUAGAGAGCAUUCAUUAAGCUUUUUUGCUCUUGAUAAUAGUAAAGAGAUCAGUUGAUGUUUAUCUUAAAGAACUUAUAAAUCAGAUUACGUAUUGCAUAGCUUCUUCUUGCCUUGGCUAUCCCAAAGACAUUCCAGGAUGUUUUAUAUUAAAUAAUGGCCAUUGAGUAAAUUGAGGUAGGAGAUAUUAUAAAAACAAUGUUUCUGAGAAUUUGGAGACAUGGGGACAAUCUCAGCAGCAGGUUUUUUGUUGUUACUGGUUUUGGUUUGUUUUUUCUGAAGCCAAUUAUUUUAAGUUAGGCUGUGUCUAUAUAAAGCUUUACUUAAUCAAUAGAGCUUUUUCUUGGCAUUGUAUAGACAUAGCUGUGAUGUAAAUUGCAAGAACAUCCAUAACCUAUUAUUCUAUGUACAUUUUUUUUCAUUCUCAUCGGAUGCAUCAAACAUGCAGCGGUAAUAAGCCAGAUUCUACUCAGCUUCAGAGGAUGAGUCUGAAGAAGAUGGAGACCAUAACAGAGCAUUUGAUAUUGCC